This 399-nucleotide ribosomal RNA is filed under the name uncultured bacterium. Its description in RNAcentral is "bacterial SSU rRNA". It matches the Rfam family "Bacterial small subunit ribosomal RNA", at positions 356 to 772 of the family's 1533-position model. The record is from RNAcentral.
GGGGAAUCUUGCGCAAUGGGCGAAAGCCUGACGCAGCCAUGCCGCGUGAAUGAUGAAGGUCUUAGGAUUGUAAAAUUCUUUCACCGGGGACGAUAAUGACGGUACCCGGAGAAGAAGCCCCGGCUAACUUCGUGCCAGCAGCCGCGGUAAUACGAAGGGGGCUAGCGUUGCUCGGAAUUACUGGGCGUAAAGGGAGCGUAGGCGGACAUUUAAGUCAGGGGUGAAAUCCCGGGGCUCAACCUCGGAAUUGCCUUUGAUACUGGGUGUCUUGAGUAUGAGAGAGGUGUGUGGAACUCCGAGUGUAGAGGUGAAAUUCGUAGAUAUUCGGAAGAACACCAGUGGCGAAGGCGACACACUGGCUCAUUACUGACGCUGAGGCUCGAAAGCGUGGGGAGCAAA